UAGACCCCUCGAGGGUUGUCAAGUACCAGAUUAACAUUUGUUCCUUCCACGGGAGGCAUCAGAAUCAGAGGUUCCUGCAACUUAUUCUUUUAUCUUUCAAUGCCCCUUGACAAUCAUUAUCCUACCUGAAUGUUUGCUCUCUCUUUUUUUUUCAACAGCUUGGGUGGGUUCACACGUGGUUAUUAGAUGAGAUGUGAACCGUGAGAUGCAAUUCAAUCUAUCUAAGAAACCACGACCCUUCUUUUCUGUUCUCGGUUCAGGCAUUUCUUU
RNAcentral lists this long non-coding RNA (270 nucleotides) under Lathyrus oleraceus (garden pea). RNAcentral's name for it is "Pisum sativum (pea) long non-coding RNA (PSAT_LNC021118)". The record is from RNAcentral. Lineage: Eukaryota; Viridiplantae; Streptophyta; Magnoliopsida; Fabales; Fabaceae.